UCUUGUUUCUAAUUCAAAUAAAAAAAUCUGAAAAGAAAAAAAAAGAUUCCUAAUUAAGGGAGAAAAAAAUCAAAGAUAUUCCCUGACUACUGUUGAGAAAGUUAAGAGAACCAUCUAAAAACACUUCUAGUAUGAGAUGCCUAAGUGCCAAAGUCCUUAUAAGUUAGCAUUUUAUUUUUCAAGAGCAGAAAACUCAAUAUGAAAUUUUAUCCCAAUAAAUUCAUUCCAAUAUAUCUUUAGAUAUUAUGGAUUUAAGUUUAGAGUUUCAUUGAAAAUUUUAUGAUGCAAAGUAAAUUUUCUUUUCUCCUCCGUGCAUGCUUGAGUUAGAUGCUGAAAAACUAGAUGAGGGAGGACAGUCACUCACAAGCUCACAAAAUGUUGAGUAUAUUCAUAUCAAUAAGGAAUCCUUUCCUUAAUAAUGUCAUUACUAAUGCUAGGUGAAAUAACAUGUCACUUUAUUUCGAGAAAAAAAUGACCAAUAAUGGAUACACAAGGCAUUUUUAGGUAAGACUCUUCCCUGAAAAACAAAUCAAGACAUUUCAGCUUGUAACAAUUUAUAUUGUUGGGGAAAAGUCAUACUGUAUGUGGAUUAUCUAUUAUAUACAUAUAUCUAGCACUUGCCCUCCUCUCUUCGACUCCUGGUGACCUGCUCUUUUCUUCCUGGCUUCAGGCAUGAACAUACCAAGAUUUACACUGUCACAGCACCCUACCCUUGUGGUCACAGUGUUAGUUAUGGAUUAAGAUAAUCAGAAUCUUAGAUUCAGUCCUGCCAAGAAGACAGGAGAGUAAGUGUGAAGUGAUUUAUUACGAAAUGUGCCCAAGAAAAAUAAUGUAGCUGAAAGCUGAGGAGGAAGCCAGGCAAUUGAUACAGAGAAGGAGAGUCAUGCAAGGGUCCAGUGGGAGGGAGUGUCCUGUGAAGGGACAUUUGAUGGUAGUCUUCCCACCCACCCAUGGUACAAAGGCUCGCUGGAAGUGCUGGAAGUUGUACCAUGGCUAUACUUUAUUGCAGCAGCUGAAUACCCAAUGAAAUCAGAAAAAAGAGCACAUGGGAUGAUGCUAAAAGAAAAAGUGAGUUGUAUGAUUUUAUGGCUUAUCUCUCAGAGGACAUGUGACAAAUUAUGGAUGUUGCCAAAUAAGAAAACUCAGUGGGUCUAGUCAUGUGGGCAGUUUCUGCCCAGCACAUAGUCAAAUUCCAAAUGCCCUAGGAAAGCUGGUAUCCAUCAUCAACCACGUGAUUUGUGCUAAAGGAUUAGGAAGAGUGACUUUAAUCAGAGGAUGCUGCACUAUCUACUGAUUUCCACAUCCUCAAAUGCCAACCUAUGACCACCGAGGCUUGAGUAGUCCUCCCUAAAGCUUGCAAUUUCCUCUAGCUACAUUUGCUCUUUGCUGAAAAGAUGCUCUGGGCUCCUUCCCAUAGGAGGGUUCUGAAUGCUGUGCAGACUACAAUUCAUUUUUGAGCAAGGCAGCUAAGAUUCUAUUUCCACACCUGUCUGUCAUUGUUUAAAGGACACCCACCAGGAACAGCUUUCUAGGCACUUUUUGACAUCUGUAAGUGUAUCCACACCGGUUCCAGCUGCCCAAGGGCAAGUCCUCCAGCAAAAAGUUGUAGGAGCUUAUUGUAAUGAGUGACAGCUCAUGGUGAGAGUCAAGCCUAGAAGAUGGACCUGGGCCUGAGGGGAUGUAGGUGAAGGACUGACAGCAUCUGCUAUGUCACCCACCCUGGGAUUGUGUAUCCUAAACCAAAAAUAGAGAAUGGCCUUUCUUGAGAUGAAUAAACAGGCAGAGUGUGAGCCUCAAGCUGUCAGGAGCCAGAUUCUCCACCAUGGGUACAAGAGCUUUCCAUGGUGGCUGAGGAUGACAUCAGCACACAGGGAAAAGUCAGCAGAAGAUAGAUUUUAAAAACUACACAGAGAGAAAAAAAACUACCUGUUGACUUGCUUCAGGAUCCCCUUGAAGCAGUCAGCUUUGCCACCUCUCCCUUGUUUUUGGUCAAUGUGAAUAUUCUCCUGCUUCCUUGUGUAUUUUGCAUCUGCUGUUUUAAUUUAGCUUUGUGACUUAUAACCACUUGACAAGGUCUUGACUCUAUAAAAUAGACUGCUUUUUUUUAUUAUGUAAUGAACCUAAUAGACCAUGUGAACCCGAUUCAGAGACAUUUGAAGGCAAAUUUUAUUUCCCUUUGAAGGUAAGAAUAGCUUGGUCUGUGUAUUUUCUAAAAGGGAUUUUGAAAAACCAGAGCUACCAUUCUCACCCAUUCCACCAACCACCUCUUGCAGUCUGUUUUUAUAAACUGUGUUUACAUCUUAAAGUUAAUUACAAAUUAUGAAGUUCAAAUUUCAGUGUUCAUAAAAAUACUUUUUAAUUUCAUGAAUAAAAUGUAUGUGGAAGAUUUUCUCUCUUUUAUCUGUACACUCACCUACACAAUAACCUUGACUUUGUCUUUUGGCCAACGUAAACUGAAAUAUUUAUAAUCUUGACCUUUUCCAAAGGUGUUUGCCAAUCCAAAUCCUUGAAAACAGUAAGAGAAUAAAACAGAUUUCUGAGGCAAAGAAUUGUCUUAUUAUUUCUAAUAAUCUUUCAUAAUAUUACAUGUAAAUUAUCUAAAAAUUAAAAAUUCCAUCUUGAUAGAAAUACAUAGGUAGCUGAACUGAAAAAGCAUGAAGACAUGCAGUAGGAAGUGUGGGUUAAUGGCAGUUACUGACAAUCACUAAGUGGACCACUAUAAUGAGUGUUUGAAAUCUGUUAAAACUGUUAUCUGCUUGCCUACCAAAGGGGAGGACUUGCAGAGGGAGGACUUGAUGAACUGAGGUUGCUUGGGACAGGUGAGAAAGAAACUGUGAACAUGAAAGGGCAAGGGCAGACUUGAGGGACCACUCAACCAUAAUGUGGAGGUAAUUAAUAUUGGUCUGCACCUUAAAGAUACAGCCAUCAAAAAGAGAGAAAGUGAUGUGUUUUAUUAACACACACUCCUUACACUCAUAUUUAAAAACAAUGGGGAUGUGAGAUUCGUCUGAGAGAAUUUCACAUCCCAGAAAUAUUUUUGGAACUUUCUCAUCUUUUGUGGAAGAUAAACUGGUGGUAGAAAUGUGUCUUUUUACUACCACAAACUGAAAUGUACAAUUCCCUCAGUUGCCUUCCUGUCAAUAUUAACUUUACAUUUUUCUUAACAUGUCAUCUUUCUGUGCUGACAGGAAGAAGAAAAAGAAACAUGCUAAUUGACUGAAAUAAAAGUGGAAUUUCCAAGGCUGACUAUCUACAUCGUUCCUUUGCUGGCUUUUCAUGGAUCUGGAUCAACCGUGUGUAUCUUCCUACCUCAAAGAUUCAGACUAGAAGUGGAUUUGCCUACUCCAAACCAAGUAGAGAAUCUCUCACACUUGUGCCUUCUAUUUCUGGGUUACAGUUCAUUCCAGAUCCAGUCAAGCUGACAACCAAGAAUAACCCAAACAUCUCAUACACAGCUAACCCAGAAGAUGGAAGAAAACUGGUAGUGCCAAUUGUCACUGAGUAAACACAGCAUUUCACUAGACUUGGUCCUUAGGUUGUCUUAUGUAUUUAAUCCAGCCAAGUUUCAAGCUGUUAUUGUUGUCAGAGAUAUAAAGGUGGUCCUUGCCUACAGUGAGCACACAGUGGAGCAGGUGGCCUCCUGUCUUUCAUCUCUGUAAGUCCAAUAGAAGUCAUCAAGACACUGACUUUAUUUUUAAAUGAAUAAGUUUUCAGCUCUAUGUAUUAAUAUUUGCCUUCUAGGAUGGAAAGUAAACACCUUAUGAAACACUAAUGAUUCAUCUCUUAGACAGAGAGUCUCCAGAAGAUUUUGUUUUGUCUGGGUUAGUCAAUAAAAAUGUCUGAAAAUUAUACACAAUUUGAUUUAGGUGUAGCAACUGGUUGUAAUAUUGAGAGAAUUCUGUGGGUAAAUUGAGAUAACACAGCCAUCACAAAAUAUUGAUUUCAUAAUUAUUGUUAUCCUUUAUGUGCUAAGCUCUCAGAAUGCAAAAGUGAGCAAGACUGUCAUGGAAGAUGUGAUCUAGUGAGAAGAAAAUUAUCAAGUGAAUAAAAUAAUUGCAAAGUAGGAUAAAUGUCAAGAAGGUACUUAAUGCUAUUAAUAAAUAUUAAUAGUAAUAAUGAAGGAAUACAGGAUUACCCCUUUGGGUGGGUUAGUUUCAUAAGGCCUUUCUGAAAAAAAAAUGAGAUCCAAAAGAUCUAGUCCUGGGCAAGGUAGGCUUGGCAGGCAGUCCUGGCUGAAUGAAAUGCAUGUGUCAAGACUCUGAAAGAAGCCUAACAUGUUUUGAAUCUUAUGAUCAAAAGCAAGGGAAACCAGAGAUGAGGGUAUAGCUUGGCCAAGGUGGAAUAGAACCUUCUGGAGUACAAGGCCAUGAGUAGAUAGGCAGAAGGGUUAUGAAUUCCUGGUUAAUAUUUUCAGAAGACAACUCCUUGUUCUGCUAACAUGUAAUGUGAGUGAGUAGCCACACUGAAAGAAGAAGAUGCCAAGAAACCACUGUGUGUCAAGUGAGCACUGUUGGGGGUCUUAUGGGAGGCUAAAAAGACACAAAGUGUAGAAGCAAGUGGUGUUUAGAUUAGAUGGAAGCCAGUUUGACUUUAUAAGCAUAUUGAUUUGGGGUUUUAUUAUGCUUGGAACUUCUUAACCUGUUUAAUUACUUCAUGUCAUUAAAAAGAGAUGACACAUUCUUUUUGAA
Molecule: non-coding RNA, 4688 nt
Organism: Cricetulus griseus (Chinese hamster)
Lineage: Eukaryota; Metazoa; Chordata; Mammalia; Rodentia; Cricetidae
Source: RefSeq, a predicted model, not a curated record